This 32-nucleotide non-coding RNA is filed under the name Geobacter sulfurreducens KN400. Lineage: Bacteria; Pseudomonadati; Thermodesulfobacteriota; Desulfuromonadia; Geobacterales; Geobacteraceae. The record is from RNAcentral.
CUGAGUGCGCCGGGCUUGGUUGGGGUCCUCCA